Molecule: ribosomal RNA, 433 nt
Filed under: uncultured Prevotella sp.
Lineage: Bacteria; Pseudomonadati; Bacteroidota; Bacteroidia; Bacteroidales; Prevotellaceae
Description: bacterial SSU rRNA
Rfam family: Bacterial small subunit ribosomal RNA
Source: RNAcentral
UGAGGAAUAUUGGUCAAUGGGCGAGAGCCUGAACCAGCCAAGUAGCGUGCAGGAAGACGGCCCUAUGGGUUGUAAACCGCUUUUAUAUGGGGAUAAAGUGAGUUACGUGUAGCUUAUUGCAGGUACCAUAUGAAUAAGGACCGGCUAAUUCCGUGCCAGCAGCCGCGGUAAUACGGAAGGUCCAGGCGUUAUCCGGAUUUAUUGGGUUUAAAGGGAGCGUAGGCCGCCCCUUAAGCGUGUUGUGAAAUGCCGCGGCUCAACCGUGGCACUGCAGCGCGAACUGGGGGGCGUUGAGUGCACGCAACGCAGGCGGAAUUCGUGGUGUAGCGGUGAAAUGCUUAGAUAUCACGAAGAACUCCGAUUGCGAAGGCAGCUCACUGGAGCGCAACUGACGCUGAAGCUCGAAAGUGCGGGUAUCGAACAGGAUUAGAUA